GAUGAACGCUGGCGGCGUGCCUAAUACAUGCCAGUCGAGCGAACAGACGAGGAGCUUGCUCCUCUGACGUUAGCGGCGGACGGGUGAGUAACACGUGGAUAACCUACCUAUAAGACUGGGAUAACUUCGGGAAACCGGAGCUAAUACCGGAUAAUAUAUUGAACCGCAUGGUUCAAUAGUGAAAGACGGUUUUGCUGUCACUUAUAGAUGGAUCCGCGCCGCAUUUGCUAGUUGGUAAGGUAACGGCUUACCAAGGCAACGAUGCGUAGCCGACCUGAGGGAGUGAUCGGCCACACUGGAGCUGAGACACGGUCCAGACUCCUGCGGGAGGCAGCAGUAGGGAAUCUUCCGCAAUGGGCGAAAGCCUGACGGAGCAACGCCGCGUGAGUGAUGAAGGUCUUCGGAUCGUAAAGCUCUGUUAUUAGGGAAGAACAAAUGUGUAAGUAACUAUGCACGUCUUGACGGUACCUAAUCAGAAAGCCACGGCUAACUACGUG
Molecule: ribosomal RNA, 497 nt
Filed under: uncultured bacterium
Lineage: Bacteria
Description: partial 16S ribosomal RNA
Rfam family: Bacterial small subunit ribosomal RNA
Source: RNAcentral